UGGUGAUUAUGGUGGAGGUGUUAUACCCGUUCCCUUUUCGAACACGGAAGUCAAGCCCUCUUACGCCGAUGAUACUGCCCCUCAAGGGGUGGGAAAGUAGGUCAUUGCCA
RNAcentral lists this ribosomal RNA (110 nucleotides) under Spirochaetia bacterium. Lineage: Bacteria; Pseudomonadati; Spirochaetota; Spirochaetia. The record is from RNAcentral.